Molecule: long non-coding RNA, 1272 nt
Filed under: Acyrthosiphon pisum (pea aphid)
Lineage: Eukaryota; Metazoa; Arthropoda; Insecta; Hemiptera; Aphididae
Description: uncharacterized LOC107883166, transcript variant X3
Source: RNAcentral
UAAUUAAAUUAGAUUUUUGGAAAAUGUUUAUAUGCAAUUACAAUUAUUUUAAUCUUGUUCGGGCUUAUUUAACUAACAUCGUUCUAGGUGUAAGGUACUCAGUACUCACUGAUUAUAUAUAGCCGCAUUACAUUUUUAAUUUUUGUACUUCAAAAAGAGCGUAUUCCUCCUCUGGUUAUCAGUCGAUAUAAUUAUAAACACUUUGGGUUUAGGUAUGGUCAGGUCGUAUGUACUUAACACACAUGACACAUGUAUACAAUAUUUCUGGUCUCAGCCCUCCAGGAUACAGUGACCGUGGGAUACUGGAUGUUGUGCGCACAUCUUGCAUUACUAACACCGAUUAAACGCUUUUUUAUUAAAGCUAAAACCUACAAUUUAUUAUUUAAUGCAAUGAGAUGAAAACAAUUAUUGCAUAUAUUAUGUGCAAACUGCAAACAUACAGUUAUCUAUAGCGUGUUAUAUUGUUAUUUAAACAUUUGAAAACCUAACUAUGAAUGGCAUUGACACACUUCUAUCUCAAUCAAGUGCCAUGCCGUGAAGACUACUUAAAAAAAACGCUGAUACCAAAGUUGAGUGGGGCGGUCUACUGCAGGUUACCAUCGUGGUCAAGGUGAGUUAUAUUUUAUCGGCAACAUGAAGUACUUACAUCAUUUUUGUCAUAUAUCGUAAGUUAAUAAUACAAAUACUAAUGAUUAAGAGCGAUUAUUCCUAUAACCUGCUCAACGCAUCAUGAUUUUUAGAUUAUAACCUUUCUGCCCAUUCCUUGUUUAAACAAGAUCUACAUAACAAACAAGGUUUAGGUAAUAUCCGUAUUCCCUCUGGACGAUCAUCCUGCUGACCCAUAGGUAUUGCGUGACAUCUAACCACCGUACAGUCAACUGUAUGAAACUAAACGAACCGCAUUGCUGUGCGAUUGGUCAGGUUGGAUGUCUGGUUCCAUUCAGUGUGUCACUGUGUCUCUAAUGAUGAACUGGUUUUUUUUUUACCAUGCGGUCAAUGACCUCGAGCACUAGAGGCGACAGCACCUUUUCCUUGCUGGAAGACAGUCAAUUUAAAGCGAACUCUUCUACUACUGACUACUGUACAGACAAUAACUGCCUAAGUACCUAUACAAAAUAUGGAUUAAAAUCAAUAUUUGUGGCUUGAUAUCAUAGUAAAAUUGUCACACAUCGCACAUAAGUAUAAUUGAUUCAAAAUUAGGAUACUAUAAUAUACUAUAGUCUAUAGCCGUAUAGCUAAUAUGUUAUUCUUUAUUAAUUUAGUAAUCAGUAU